UGAGGAAUAUUGGUCAAUGGAGGCAACUCUGAACCAGCCAAGUCGCGUGAAGGAUGAAGGUCUUAUGGAUUGUAAACUUCUUUUGCAAGGGGAUAAAGUGGGGGACGUGUCCUCCUUUGCAUGUACCUUGCGAAUAAGGAUCGGCUAACUCCGUGCCAGCAGCCGCGGUAAUACGGAGGAUCCGAGCGUUAUCCGGAUUUAUUGGGUUUAAAGGGUGCGCAGGCGGGAUGUUAAGUCGGCGGUGAAAUUUUGCAGCUCAACUGUAAAAGUGCCUUCGAUACUGGCUUUCUUGAGUGUGGAUGAAGUAGGCGGAAUUUGUGGUGUAGCGGUGAAAUGCUUAGAUAUCACGAGGAACUCCGAUUGCGCAGGCAGCUUACUAAACCACUACUGACGCUCAUGC
This 400-nucleotide ribosomal RNA is filed under the name uncultured bacterium. RNAcentral describes it as "bacterial SSU rRNA". It matches the Rfam family "Bacterial small subunit ribosomal RNA", at positions 355 to 752 of the family's 1533-position model. The record is from RNAcentral.